This 1420-nucleotide ribosomal RNA is filed under the name metagenome. Its description in RNAcentral is "bacterial LSU rRNA". It matches the Rfam family "Bacterial large subunit ribosomal RNA", at positions 1477 to 2925 of the family's 2925-position model. The record is from RNAcentral.
GAAGGAGAGCACUACCUGGAAUGGAAUCCAGGGGCAAGCACAGGAGGGGUACGGCUGGAAAAACCGCCGUGCAACCCAAAGGUGUGACGCAUACCGAACUAAAGUAGGGAAAUGUGUGAGCCGGCUGCCGAGAAAAGCCGCUAUUGUUUGUACUGUACCCGUACCGUAAACCGACACAGGUGGAUGAGGAGAGAAUCCUAAGGCCGACGGAAGAAGCAUUGCUAAGGAACUCGGCAAAAUGACCCUGUAACUUCGGGAGAAAGGGUGCCUCGAAAGAGGCCGCAGAGAAUAGGCCCAAGCAACUGUUUAGCAAAAACACAGGUCUAUGCAAAACCGCAAGGUGAAGUAUAUGGGCUGACGCCUGCCCGGUGCUGGAAGGUUAAGGGGAGAUGUCAGGAGACGAAGCAUCGAACUUAAGCCCCAGUAAGCGGCGGCCGUAACAAUAACGGUCCUAAGGUAGCGAAAUUCCUUGUCGGGUAAGUUCCGACCCGCACGAAGGGCGUAAUGAUUUGGGCGCUGUCUCGGCAAUGCAUCCGGUGAAAUUGAAGUGCCAGUGAAGAUGCUGGCUACCCGCGCCAGGACGGAAAGACCCCAUGGAGCUUUACUCCAGCUUGAUACUGGGAUUCGGUAUUGUAUGUACAGGAUAGGUGGGAGGCUGAGAAAUGGUGACGCCAGUCGCCAUGGAGCCGCUGUUGGGAUACCACCCUUGCAGUACUGGAUUUCUAACCAGCAGCCGUGAUCCGGCUGGGGGACAAUGUCAGGUGGGGAGUUUGACUGGGGCGGUCGCCUCCGAAAGGGUAUCGGAGGCGCUCAAAGGUUCCCUCAGAAUGGUCGGAAACCAUUCGAAGAGUGCAAAGGCAGAAGGGAGCUUGACUGCGACACCGACGGGUGGGGCAGGUACGAAAGUAGGACUUAGUGAUCCGGUGGUAUUAAGUGGGAAUGCCAUCGCUCAACGGAUAAAAGCUACCCUGGGAUAACAGGCUUAUCACUCCCAAGAGUUCACAUCGACGGAGUGGUUUGGCACCUCGAUGUCGGCUCAUCGCAUCCUGGGGCUGUAGUAGGUCCCAAGGGUUGGGCUGUUCGCCCAUUAAAGCGGUACGCGAGCUGGGUACAGAACGUCGUGAGACAGUUCGGUCCCUAUCCGGCGUGGGCGUAGGAUAUUUGAGAGGAGCUGACCUUAGUACGAGAGGAUCGGGUUGGACUGACCUCUGGUGCACCGGUUGUCAUGCCAAUGGCACAGCCGGGUAGCCAAGUCGGGAAGGGAUAAACGCUGAAGGCAUCUAAGCGUGAAGCCCCCCUCAAGAUGAGAUAUCCCCCGCAUAAGCGGUAAGACCCCUUGAAGACGACGAGGUAGAUAGGGCAGAGGUGAAAGUGCAGUAAUGUAUGGAGCUGACUGCUACUAAUAGGUCGAAGGCUUAAU